RNAcentral lists this transfer RNA (64 nucleotides) under Agapetus zniachtl. Its description in RNAcentral is "tRNA-Ala". Lineage: Eukaryota; Metazoa; Arthropoda; Insecta; Trichoptera; Glossosomatidae. The record is from RNAcentral.
AGGAUUAUAGUUUAUAAAAAACAUAUGAUUUGCAUUCAUAAAAAAUUAAUAUUAAUUAAUCUUA